CCUACGGGAGGCAGCAGUGAGGAAUAUUGGUCAAUGGACGAGAGUCUGAACCAGCCAAGUAGCGUGAAGGAUGACUGCCCUAUGGGUUGUAAACUUCUUUUAUAUGGGAAUAAAACGUUCCACGUGUGGGAUUUUGUAUGUACCAUAUGAAUAAGGGUCGGCUAACUCCGUGCCAGCAGCCGCGGUAAUACGGAGGAUCCGAGCGUUAUCCGGAUUUAUUGGGUUUAAAGGGAGCGUAGGUGGAUUGUUAAGUCAGUUGUGAAAGUUUGCGGCUCAACCGUAAAAUUGCAGUUGAAACUGGCAGUCUUGAGUACAGUAGAGGUGGGCGGAAUUCGUGGUGUAGCGGUGAAAUGCUUAGAUAUCACGAAGAACUCCGAUUGCGAAGGCAGUUCACUGGACUGCAACUGACACUGAGGCUCGAAAGUGUGGGUAUCAAACAGGAUUAGAUACCCGUGUAGUC
RNAcentral lists this ribosomal RNA (460 nucleotides) under uncultured bacterium. RNAcentral describes it as "partial 16S ribosomal RNA". It matches the Rfam family "Bacterial small subunit ribosomal RNA", at positions 338 to 795 of the family's 1533-position model. The record is from RNAcentral.